UGUGGGCAGUAUAAGGUACACCUGUGCACUACUCAUGAUGUCGGAUCAGCAUCUUGAUGUGGCAUACCUGUGAGGUGGGAUGGAUUAUGUCACACCCUGUCCUGUCUCCCCAUUCUGUUCAGUCAUGUGUCUCUGUUAAUUGCUCCCACCUACCUCUCUUUUUCCAAUCACCCAAGCUCCCAGCCCUCAUGUAUUUAAACCCUCUCAGUUCUGUGUCUUUUGACGGUUUAUUGUUUCAGUGUCCAGCGUGUUUUUAUAUUAAACUUUACUAAACGUUCGUGUCUAUCUGCCUGCCUUCCUCACCCGCAUGUGGAUCCUCACCUCCGCUUCACUCACCAGCAUGCCGUGACAGAUUAUCUCAGCAAUGCAGAAGUGCUCACUAUCACACAUUUAGAUUGAUUUGUGAACAAUGUUUGAGAAAAAUGGUAAUAUUGUGUAUCUGGAAUGUAUUUUAGAUCUUUAUGUCCAUCUCAUGGAAAAUCGGAGCAGAAACAAAGGUGUUGCGUUUAUAUUUUUGUUGAGUGUAUGUGUAAAUGCGGUGUUGGUCAGAACUUCAGAAUCUCGGAAAGCGGCGUCUCUGGAUGAAAAAGAAUUUGGUUUGUUCUAAACUAUGAUGUUAUCUUCAGAAGCACAUUCAGACGCAAUCUCUGUGUUCUACCUCACCCUUUUGAUGACCUUCGUCACGGAUUCGGAGGUCAGAGAGGCAGGAUGACCUCUGGGCACCCAGGUCCGGUAGAUUGACUGCGAGCACCGACUUCUCCGGUCCAAAAGAUAUCACCACGCAGCACAGGUGUGAGGACCUUGUCGUCAAAACAUCUGAGGAGACAGAAAAAUGGGAACGGUGCGGUAAAGUUAUGAGGAAAAACAGUUCAGAAGUUAACCUUUCUACCUAUUACUUACCUAAAAAUGUUUUUGUGUAACAGAUGAUGCAUUCUGGAUAAUUGGAGUGUCGAGAAAACCGGAUGACUUUUGAACGUUUUGAAGUCUCCUCGACGAGGGAGUGGAGAGCCGGACCAGAACACAUCAUCUCCUUUUCCAAGGGUGAUGAACGAGAUGUACUGAACCUCACUGAGGAAACAGCACCGGCAGGAUUCAGCAGUGUGGUAGGACUGACUUUGGGUUGCAAUGAUUAUAAAUUUAUAAAAAAAAUUUGCCCCCUCAGAGUUUUCAUGAAUGUUAACUAGAUCUAUUAAAGCUUAAAGGGCUUUCUGAUCAGUUUAUCUCUGCUGUCAAAUUGGCAUUUUUGACAUGUGAUUCGAUGAGGAUUAGCUCUCUUCUGGUGGAUGAGGGUGGAAAUGCAUUUUUUGUGUGCCUCUUCCUUGUUGGCUUCACUUUCAUACCAGAAUUAUGGGGGCUGUCGUGGUGGAAAUUAUUCCAUCUAACCACUCCCUGGUUCUUUGGAGGUGACCCUGAAGAGAGAUGCACACUUUAAGCUAGGGCUGGGCAAUAUGGCCUAAAACUAAUAUCACAAUAUAUUGAGGAUUUAACCUCAAUAAUGAUAAAUGGACCAUAACUGCAGGUAAGUUGUCCACUAGAUGGGGCUGUCACAUGUAUUAUAUUUAGUCACAUUUUUACGCAUCUCAAGGUGGUACAGCUUCUUAAAGGGACAUGAAUGUUGCCCAGCUACACACAUCUUUUCAUUUUUUUAUUAUCAAAUUUAUUGACAUGGGAAAAAUGAUCUCGAUAAGAGUCAGAAAUUUCGAUAACGAUACAUUUUCGAUUUAUUGCCCAGCCCUACUUUAAGCCCAUUAUAAUAUGUACACACACAAAGAUCUUUGGUUGGCUUCUGGUGAGAAGAACACAAGCAGUUCCCUGCCGAUGUAUCUUCUAACUUUCGACUCUUCUCGUCAGCCCUUUUAUUGAAUUGCAUGAAAAUUUUUUUAAAUUUUACAACAGUUCCACAAUAGACUGGGGCGUUCCCACUUCACAGUCAUACACUACUCCUCCUCAUGUGAGCGGUCUUCAUGAGUUCACAGUCUAAAGCACCUUCUGACUUUCCCUGACCCUCAACAUCCAGGACUUUUUCUAAGACUGAACUUGUGAUCUCUGGCUCAGCAACGAGGUCAAAAGUUUAUCAAUCAGACACUUCCCCAUGACAUAACUCGUGAUCUUCUUUUGACCACAAGCAGUAAGAGUCAGGCAAUUGUUAUAGAAACUUUCAACACCAAUGUUUUCUGGAACGUUAUCUCUGUUAGUCUGCAGCACUUCGACAAAGUUUUAUUUCCUUAUAUAUGAAGAUUAAAUGAUUGACCAACACAUUCAUAACCUGACAGCAAUUAGACUGAAGUUGACUAUAUUAGUUUAAACAGAAAAGGUUAUAUUGGUUAAGUGUAAAAAUGAUUAUUCUCAAAAAGAUUAUAUUGAUUAGCUUUAAAAAUGAUUAUGCUGAUUAGGGCUGCAAUGAUUCCUCGAGUAACUCGAAUGAUUCGCUGACAAAAAAUAUUCGAGAAUUUUCCGCUGCCUCGAGGACUCGUUAAAUAGACCAUAGCUGAAUAUCCGGCAUUGCGCAUGGAUUCUUUAUGUGUUGCGCAACGCGGUUACGUCACAGAUUAUACGUGCCAUGUACU
This is a non-coding RNA of Nothobranchius furzeri (turquoise killifish), 2567 nucleotides long. Lineage: Eukaryota; Metazoa; Chordata; Actinopteri; Cyprinodontiformes; Nothobranchiidae. The record is from RefSeq and is a predicted model, not a curated record.